GUUGGAGCUCAGUGGUAAAGCACUUGCCUCGUACAUGUGAGGUACUGGGUUCAAUCCUCAGUACAACA
RNAcentral lists this transfer RNA (68 nucleotides) under Marmota monax (woodchuck). RNAcentral describes it as "tRNA.Thr". Lineage: Eukaryota; Metazoa; Chordata; Mammalia; Rodentia; Sciuridae. The record is from RNAcentral.